UGAGUUGCAGAGUCAUGAAACGUGACGGAAUUCCUCUCGGGUAUAAUGUCCAAAAAUUGACGCCACGGAGUCGACCGAGUAUGACAACGCGCUUUGGUGUAUAUGCAUAAAGGAAUAAUCUGAAUGGUGGUAAAAACUCGUCAGCACAAUGUAAACAUUCGUUUAUGGUGUGUGAGGCUUCAUCUUCCCUGCCUGGAAACUGACCGGAGAAUCUCAGUCAAGCAUAACAUUCUCAAUUCAAUCUCCGCAAGCGCAUACUCAAGUCAGAUAUUGUGUGGUGUGUAUCUUCCUUUGCUCACUGAUAUCUGGAACUUGAUACAUCAUCUGUUGCUGUUAUCCCAGUAGAAGUUUAGUGAAUAGAAGGAAGAAUCUUCCUUGAAGUGAUCCCGUUACAGGAACUACACGUGUUGGAUAAUUGGCAUUGGGCAGCUUCAUCGAUAUCAGUAAAUGCAAUUGGGCCAAUUAUUGCCUGUACUAAUGCCUGCGUUACCAAUGGAAUUUUGAGGCUUUCGUGUUUGAUGAAUAUCGAGGAUCCAUUUUCCGGAACAUCUUGGAAUCAGUCAUGUGGACUGAUUAAUCAGACCUACCGCGUCAAACCUGCUACCAGUGGUAGGGCGAGGGGCGCUGGUGACUUGAUCUACAAUUACAUCGACCAAUAUCAGUUCGAGCGACAAGUAAUUUGUACAGUUCCGGACGUAACGAUCACUCAAUAAAGAUCGCCAAGAAGAAAGUUUAGGAUACGGUUCUUCGACUGUAAGGAUUCGGUGGAUUUGAGAGACGAAGUUUUGAAUUAAAAAACCGCCAAGAUGUGGUAAAUCAGAUGCGUGAUAAAAAGGAUAUUAUGUCGAACAACACUGCGCGGUAUGGCCUAUUCCAUAUGUAGGUCAAUACGGCUUAUUGUCAGCCCGGAACGCUCAUCAGUUAUGAACUUCAGAUAUAGUCCAUUCUACCUUCUCAGUGCCGUACAAAGUAUUCCUCUUCCCACUCAUCCGGCGAGACUUCACAGAACUAGUUGCUUGUACCUUGUGCAAAAUCACAUCAGUGAACGAGAUUAUCGUCAUCAUUUUGCAACCUACCUUCGAAUCUCGAGAAGCAUCAAACAGCCGCGACCUGAGGUACAUGGCCUAGUACAAUUUAUAAUUUGUCGCAUAUUCCUUGCUAAUUAGCUGAGUCUGAUUAUAUGUAAUUUUAUUAUUGUAAAUUUACUAAGCGAGUGGGUCAUUAAUCUGCCCUCCAUCUGUCAUGAAUUGUCCAUUUGUGAGCGACUAAGGUCGUAGCUUUGUGAAACGAUCGUUAAGGCUUCAAAUUUCGUAGUUGUAUCUUAUAAAAUCGACAUAUUAUUACACCAACUAUUUUUAUUUGUAGUUUAUUUUCUUGUAUCGUUCUAUAUCAAAGAGAAAAAAAAAUAUUACAACACACUAUUGCGUAAAGACAAUCUAGAUUAUAUACAAUAAUACGGCUAUAAUAUAAAAAUGAAAGAAUUAUUCAUUUCAAAUGGGACUCUAUUCGACACGCGCUCGAUGUAUUCCAUAAUAUUAAUAUUCAUAAUUAUUCCAACAACUUUUCAUUUGCUCUCUCGAUCUUGAAUUUUCGUAGGCAUAGAAUCGAAACGCUGUUUUAGCGAGUCCCAAAUGAAGUAUCUACGUUGGGUAGAGAAGCAGAAUUGUUUUUAGAAAAGUGUUCGUAUCGUAGGUUAUAUCUUGAAUAGUAAUAAAUAUUUUCAGUAUAAGAACACAUAAAAAACAUUGUGUAAGGAUAACUAUAAUCAGUUGGUUAAUUAAUAAUAUAAUAAAUUUUAUUAUCGCAUUUAUAGCUACUGAAGUUGUGCUUGCGCGAAAAAUGAAUUA
RNAcentral lists this long non-coding RNA (1847 nucleotides) under Neodiprion lecontei (redheaded pine sawfly). RNAcentral describes it as "uncharacterized LOC124293842". The record is from RNAcentral. Lineage: Eukaryota; Metazoa; Arthropoda; Insecta; Hymenoptera; Diprionidae.